Non-coding RNA from Amborella trichopoda, 3059 nucleotides. The record is from RefSeq and is a predicted model, not a curated record. NCBI's taxonomy places the organism in Eukaryota, Viridiplantae, Streptophyta, Magnoliopsida, Amborellales, Amborellaceae.
UUGAGGUGCAUCUGUAAUUCUACAUUUGAAGGUUGCAACCUUGUAAAAACUUUUGCCAUAUCUAAAUCAAAGAAAUCAGAAAAGCUAUUUCAAAUAAGAUAACCAUUUGAAAAGAGUAUUAAUCAUAGGUUAAUAACUCAAAAACUAAGUAAAAAAUCCAUUUCAAAAUGUAAAUCAGAUUUGGUUUAAACCAAUUUAGUUUGUUUUGUUCAAAUUAAAUUCUAAAAAGUCGUGAAAAAGGUUUAAAUCAUAUCAUUUUUAUGUUUUUCAAAAUAAUCAACUUUUCCUAUUUUAGACCAUUUUCAGUUAUUUUAAGAGUUGAGUGUACUUAUCAGAAAUCUCUAAUUAAAUUUUUUUUAAAAUUUUGAUAUAACAAGAGGUUGGUAUACUGCAUAAAAAUCUUAAUGAAAUCGUAAACAAGAUGUGAUAAAUCCAUGGACCAGUUAGGAUUUUAAAAAAGCUAAAAGAUAUCAUGCUUUAGAGCCAACAUGCUGUCCAUUUGCUGCGUCGGGGAAAACUAAGAGCAUUUGUAGGAUAUCAAAUUAUGGGAUGUAACCUCUUCAGCUCAUGUGCUAUAUUUGAUUAAAAUUGCCAAAAAUAUUUAUGCUCCCAAGGGAGCAUACUAUCCAUUACCGCUUCAAGCAAAACCCAAUAUAGUACUUUUAGGACCCCAAAUUUUGCGAAUGUAACCUCUUCAACCCAAUGCUAUACUCAAUAAAAAAAAUAAAUUGAAAUUGCAUUUUCUAUGGGCUUGAAAGAAAUAAUGCCCCAAGAUUAAAUAGAAACCAUGCAAUUUUUAACAUAACUCUCUAGUGAUUUUUAGGCCGUUCCCAAAUUUUCUGAUAAAAAAAAUCUACCCAAAUUAGUCUUUUGCUAGUGGGAGCAAGUGUACAAUGUAUGCUCCUACGGGAACACAAUAUAUGUGCUCAAAUUCUUUUUUCAAAUCGGAUUAUUUAUGGGCUUGAAAAAAGUAAUGCCUUAUGAUUUAAUAGAAACCGUCAAGUUUUUGAAGGGUGAUAUUUGUGUUAAAAAAUUCAAAAUUCAAUUUUUUUUAAUAUAUUUUUAUGGUGAUUUAAUAGAAACCUUCAAGUUUUUUAAGGGUGGGGGAUAUAUUCCUUGUAUUUGUUGUACCAUUUCUCCAUAUUCAAAAUUCCUAUGGAUUGCAGUAUUGUUAGUACAUCCACGGUUGAAAAUGGGAAAAUCGUUUUUGCAACUUGUAGGCCACUAAGGGAGCAGUCAUUUAUUGGUUUCAAAAUUUUAGUGCAGCACUGACCUUUUGGUUGGAUAAAUAAUAGUACUUGUUACUUGUUUGCAAAGAAUACUUUUCAUUUUAGAAAAUUAUGUUAAACUGUGCAAAGUUUCCAUCCCCAAAAGGCACUAUUUGAAUACAAUGAUUUCUUAACAAAAAGAACACAUAGGUGGUGGCUGCAACCAAUUCAUUGAGCUGGGUUCAAUUACCUUUAUCUUAAAGGUAUCCAACAAUUGGCUAGAGGACUUCAGCCCUCGGUUUAUUUGCAAAGAGUAUCUAUACUAUUUUUCUUCGGGAGCGUAAUUUACUUCUACUCCCUAGGUUAGAAAACUUAUUUGGGAGAAUUUUUUUAAUCUGAAAUUUUGGAAAUUUUUUCAAUCAGUAGAAGGAUGAUUCUUGAGCAUUAAUAGACUUGGGUUGAUCAUUAUAGAGCAUUAGAAAGAUUCACUGUCAUGCCCGUGUCUGGCAAUGCCGUCUCAUACGACUGUUAAUUAAAAAAAAAAUCUUAAUGGCUCAAGUUUAUACAACUUUUUUUUCCUUUGGGGUAAGUCAGUGGGGGAAGAAGGCCCCUCACCCGAUUUUUUUAAUUUCAUUAACUAAAGAUAAAGGAUGCAGGCUCAUCAGAUUACAACACUUUCAUAUGGAACUCAUGCUUCAUUGUAAGAAUUUGGAAGAGUAAGAAAAUCAAGAGGCCAGGCCCUCCAAACUGUAGCAGCAGAUACCAAGUUGACAGCAGUGGUCUGUAGAGUCGAAGGUAGCUUGUGGUGGCCUUGGAGAGAGUCCAUAAGGAGCUUAGAGUCACUUUCAAUGAGAUGCAAUUUGAUGGCCAAAUCAAUACCAGACUCUUACGGCUUUGAACUCAGCAAAAUUGUUAGCAGCAACUCCAAGUGGCUUGGCAAAACAUGCAACAAGGUGACCGACCUCAUCUCUCAAAGCAACCACAACCAGAGAAGACUUGGGUUCUGAAAGGAUGUGCCGUCAAUGUUGAGCUUGAAGUAGCCCAUUGGAGGAGGCUCCUAUGAGACAUGGAUGCAUUUCCGGGGUUGUUGCACAUGCCACUAAAAAGCUAGUCUUUGAACAACUAACCUUUCCGAGGGUGGAAAGACCUAGACUUUAUUGCAGCGAGACCUCUCACAUGAUGAAUAACAUGGUCUACGUCUCACGUCUAGAUGACUUCCUUUUUAAAAAGCCAAUUAUUAUGCUCCUCCCAUAAAAUCCAAAUAGUAGUAAAAAAAAGAGAGAAUGCAAUAUAUGCUGAAGGCCCUGAGAGUUAAAGCUGAUUUUAAUCUACUAAGUGAACAUGAGGAGCACAUAUGGUUUUGCAGAAAUGCAUUUGCCACAUCUCCAAGAAAUGGAGCACCAAAGGAACUGCGAAAACAAACAUUAAAGCAAAAGAUGGUCAACGUUAUCACUAUUCUUCUAGCGAAAAGAGCACGUGGGAACCAUAGUCAUCCAUUGCUUUCGAGCUAACGAAGAAAACAGCUUUUGAGUUUACGCUUGUUGGAGGUGGUUUUCUAUUUUUUUUUAGGUGGAACCCUAGCAACUGCAAUUGCGUCUUACGAAUUCACAUGCCAUCGUAGUGGUUGGUCAGCAUUGAUGUAAGAAUAACUAUGUCAACCAUUUGGCCCUAGGUUACGAGGGGAACGACCAUAAAGAUAUAAAAGCAGGUUGUGAGGUCCCUCUAUAUCAAAAUUUUAUACAAAUUGGAUAGUAUGAAGAGCACUUUGCAAAGUUCAUUGCAGUCUAGUGUUCGGUUUAGUUGCCAGACCAUAAUCGAAAUUCAAUCAGAUCGAAAUGAUGUUCAUUUUAU